CGGAUCAUAUAACUGGUGAGUAUGGAAUCUUUUUCUGUUUUUUAUUUUAUAUAUUUUUUCAGUUUGGAGUUUGUGGAAUAGAUAGGUUUUUACUUUAUGAAUCUGGAACGAAUGGAUUGCUACCGGCGGCAUUCCUGAACGCAAUUGGGUCCAACACGGAAGCUAAACUAGUUCAUAUGCAUCCGGACAACGUUGCCCAGAAGCAGGCACAACAAGCAAUGAAUUUCGAUACGGAACAACUGAGCAGAUGCAUAUCAGUGAAAGUUUAUUCCGUUCUGAGACAUUUCUACCAACGAAGUAAGGACACGAACGGUAUUGAAUUGAAUGAUGCUAAGCCAGAUCAACAGUGUGGGGAGACUGACGGUGUAGAUUCGCCACAGGUGGAAAUUAAUCACAAACGCAAGAUGUGACAUUAUCAGAUCUCCCAAAGUGGUUUCUUACCAGCUAUGAAUACACCCGUUCGGAUGAUGUGGCUUUUUUGCUUCCAUCAACUGUCAACAGCAUCGGCUUUCCCGUAGCAGUAUCCUCCAAGCCAUGGUGGCUGUUCCAGGGGACAACAUCAACAGCAGCAGCAUCUGGACCUGACCAUCGAUAGUGUUUCGAGCAACUUUCCAUAUCGGAGAUCUCGUGCUUCGCGCACAUUGAAGAAACCUCCUCAGCCACAUGUGUGUCAAGGAGAAAAAGGAGCUGGAUUCGAAUCGUCAAUCCAGACAACCCGAAUGCACCGAUUGCAUUAUAUAUCUUGUUUAUAUUUUAUAUGCAUUUUGUGUUUUUUUGAAUAAAAUGAUUAAAAUCGAUCAAUGUUUUUCCUUUUCAUGUUUCAUAACAAACCAAUACAAACAAGAGACGAUCAGUGUUGGAAGCAGCGUUACAUGCAGGUCGACGCCUUGCACAUGUUGGCAAAAAAGUGGCGUCAAGUUGUUCGAUGAAUGCAUAUGAAAGGUCGAUAACUCGAUUGCAAGGUGGCAGCAUUUGAGGUCGAUUGUUGACAUUUCAUCGACCCGAUCUUGGCAGGCAAAACGGAAUGUGGGCUUGAUGAGUGAGGGUUUGAAAGAACAUAUGAGAUUGAUUCGGUCGAGGCUGCGAUUAAAUCUGCACGAGCAAUGUUUAGAUGUAGA
Molecule: long non-coding RNA, 1118 nt
Organism: Toxorhynchites rutilus septentrionalis
Lineage: Eukaryota; Metazoa; Arthropoda; Insecta; Diptera; Culicidae
Exons: 3
Source: RefSeq, a predicted model, not a curated record